AAACCUGANAAACCCAAAAGAUCGAAUGGGGAAAUUCAUCGUCAGCGUUGUUGGCUUCCGUGUGGACGCGAUGGCUGGGACUUCGGUUCCGCGUCACGCGUUCGCUGCGGUAUGUCCGAUUUCGUCGGCGUGCACUUCUCCCCUAGUAGGACGUCGCGACCCGUUGGGUGCCGGCCUACGGCCCGGUUGGUCGACUGUCGCGUCGCGCUCACGCGUGUACGUGGCAGACCACCGGUUGCCCGGCCGGCUGCCCGGCGGUAUAGAUCGAUAAUAAACGGUAUUGGGCCGCAUUAAGUGCGUUCUGGCUCGUCGGCAGGCUCGUCUCGCUCGGAUUUACGGACCUAGCGCCGUUGCCGGGCGCUUGGCGCGGCCGUUAGUCGACGAUGUCCUCGGACUGGCUCUUACAUUCGAACGGAUUUACCGGUCGGCGACGCUACUGCUUUGGGUACUUU
This 452-nucleotide ribosomal RNA is filed under the name Anisopteromalus calandrae. RNAcentral's name for it is "eukaryotic LSU rRNA". Lineage: Eukaryota; Metazoa; Arthropoda; Insecta; Hymenoptera; Pteromalidae. The record is from RNAcentral.